AAAAUACUCCCUCUGUCCAGAAAUACUUGUCGGACAAAUGCACAAAAAUGGAUGUAUCGAGAACUAAAAUACGUCUAGAUGCAUCUAUUUCUCCGACAAGUAUUUCCGGACGGAGGGAGUAUUAU
Non-coding RNA from Triticum aestivum (bread wheat), 125 nucleotides. NCBI's taxonomy places the organism in Eukaryota, Viridiplantae, Streptophyta, Magnoliopsida, Poales, Poaceae. The record is from Rfam.